CACACACAGACACACACAGACACACACGCGAGAGCGGAAGAAAAUGGGGAAGGGGGAAGGUCAUUGCCUCCUGACAAGCAAGGGGGAAAAACAAUGCGGCAAGAAGGAAAGACACCGAGCUGCAGGGAGGCAGCAGAGAAGGAUUACAGAGGGCCUGGGUGCUAGGCUGGAUGUCCCAGAGAGGCUGGAAGCUGACUGAGGUUCAUGCGUUCUGAAAGGCAAGAGACUCCAAUUAACUGUUGGGUGUGAAGAAAGCCCCUUUUCUCAACCCACCCACACCCCUUGAGCUAACCAUCGGUUCUGCCCCUAACCCACUAGGGCCUCCAUCUGACCUGCAAGCCCAGGGGAGGUCUAGCGAUGGCCAGGCGAUGAUUGUAGCCAUCUACCUCUAUCUAGAAAGUACUGGGGUCUGUCCUCACCCUUGCUACUACUGCCAAAAACAAACAAAAACCAACCACCUCUGUUUUAUGUGCUUGUGGAUAAAAAAAUAAACAUCCUCACUAAGCUGGAUACCCAUUGGACCACUGAAAAAGACCCGUAACAAAUGGUGCAGACCCCCAACAGGACUGAUGAUUUUUAAUGGUAAGUGCAGCAGGGCCAAAGAGGUCAAGCAAAAAGCCAGGUAUGUAACCACUGGGAUUACGUG
Molecule: long non-coding RNA, 646 nt
Filed under: Suricata suricatta (meerkat)
Lineage: Eukaryota; Metazoa; Chordata; Mammalia; Carnivora; Herpestidae
Description: lncRNA (ENSSSUG00005000934.1)
Source: RNAcentral